Non-coding RNA from Nicotiana tabacum (common tobacco), 3709 nucleotides. NCBI's taxonomy places the organism in Eukaryota, Viridiplantae, Streptophyta, Magnoliopsida, Solanales, Solanaceae. The record is from RefSeq and is a predicted model, not a curated record.
ACCUCACCCUUAUACAUAAUUCCUCCAACAAACUUAUCACAUGCACACUACAAUUUCAUACAUACAUGAAUACAGUGAUUUUAGUAGGGGAGGACCACAAAAUAUUCUUUGGGGACCACUCAUAUUCUUUUUUUCUCCCCAAGCACUCACCUAGGCUCACAAUUAAUAUAAAGGGGAUGAGAAGACAGUGAUAAAAAAGAACAGAGAGAGACAGAUAGGAGGAGAUAGAGCAAAAUUGGGGAAAACACAGAUCUGAAGAAAAAAAGCCACACCUCCGUUUUUCUAUUUCAUCUUUUUCCUAAAAUCCUUCAUUAAACCACCCUCAAACACCCCAAAGAGCCCAUUUUUUUGCCAUGAAAGUGCAACCAUGAAACCUUCAUUAAGCCACUCUUAAACUCCAUCAAACAACUCCAAAAUCACUCCAAAACACCAUUGUUUACAGCUGAAAAAUGCAACAAAAUGACCAUUGAAGGAAGCUCCAAAAGCUCACCAAAAGUCAGCAAUAAAGCCACCACAAACACCUCCCAAACCCAGCUCGAAAAUAGCCCCCAAAAGCCUCAAAUUUCAGCCAAAAACUGACCCCAAAAGCACAACAAAGGUAGUUUCAAUUUUCUCCAUUAAUCACGUUGAAGCUCUGUCACCCGAGGUCGCCGGCGAGUUUACCAUGCCUGGUUUGGUUUGUUCGAAUUCUCUCAUUGAGUUUACAUGUUUGUAUUCAAUAAAUCGUCAUGUAUAUAAAAGUUAUUAGGCGGCAAAAAAAAUCCAAAGUGGGAGAUAUAGUUGGGAGCAAAACGGAGUGGCUUCACUGUUCAAGCUUGCUUUAGACGCGAUUAAUAAAUUAUCGUGGUCAUGGGUACGGUUCUCAUGGCAUGGUCACGAUCCAUAAAUCUAAAUUCAGGGACAGACCAACGUGGGGCCAAGUGGGUCAUCUGAACCUGUUGUUUACCCGUAAAACAGUAUGGCUAAAUUUUAUAAUAUGGUUUAUAGACAAGCGAAUCAAUUUAAUCCCAAAAUAAUAAAUAAAUUAAAUAAAAUGCAAGACUUAGCGUUGAAAUUGAGAUAAGACAACAAACAGCUUGGUUCCCGGAUCAAGGCUUCUGUAGACAACAAUAAGAAUAUUAAUAGACAGAAAAUAAAGUAUUAUUGAGCUUAGAAUAAUAUGUAGCAUAAGUUUGUCAGAAAUUUCGUGUCUUACAAUGGCUGUUGAACUCACUAUUUAUAGCUAUACCUAGGGAACAAGGUCCUAUGAUCAAGCCCCUCUUAAAUGACAAUUAUGGGGGCCAUUGAUGAAGGUGUAAUGGCAGGCUAUGAAUGACAAGAUUCUUUGUAACGGAUUGUGUAUUUAAUAUUGAGAAAUAUUCUUCACUGAAUGUCAUCGGGUGACAAAUAUUCAUUUGUCCUCAUUAGCAAUAUUCCUUUCGGAGUCUACCCAGUGUCAACCGAAGCUACUGUCCAUGGUCUUGGUUUCCACUUGCCUCGUUUUUUGUCUGUCUCUGGCUCCACGUGUCGCCCUAUUAUUCGAGUAUUUAAUAUGAACCAAUUUUACCCUAAACAGAUAGUCCCCCUACUUUCCGGUGGCACAUCUUUGUGUCAUUGGGAAGUUGGUGAAGAUACCUCUCUUGGCGGGAAAUUUUUUGAUCCCUUUUGAAAAGUUUCUGACACUCGAUUAGAUGCACGUCUCUCCGCAUUUGAUGCCCCGAACACUCGUCACUCCACGAUUUUGCAAUAUUUUAACUGGUCUCUAGUUAAUCAUGGUCACGAUUUUAGUCGCCUAUUUCUUUACUUAUACGCCUUAUUCUUCUUCUUUUACGCUUCACAGUUCUUCAAACUCUCUAAACUUCUUUGCAUUCACCUCUUUCUUUCUUUCACUCUUCUUCUUCAAAGAACUCUUAUUUCCUUCUACUAACCAUGACUUCCUUCUCCAAGAAUUCAGGUUCUCUUAAAAAUAAAGAAAACACCGAUGAUGUUGCCCCUCCUACGGUAAGUACCACAUUCCCAGAAGACUUAAAACAACCAAGGAUUUCGAAGAGAAGUUUUCUUCUACAAGCUCUCGUACAUGGGCUGUUGGUGGAUACCCUUCUUCCAUCCAUCCUUCUUGCAUUCCUGCCGUGGAGGAGGAUUAUGAUUGCCAUGAUCUGAACAUCAUCGCUCCCGAACUGGUGAAGCAAGUAACCUUUCCGAAGAAAGGUUUUAUGUACGUCUAUACGUACCCAUUUACUUUGGGUGCGUUUUCUUUGAGCGGGGGAAUUGACCCCAUGAUUUUGGAGCUAUGCCACAAAUACCAAAUUGUUUUGGUACAGGUGGGCCCUUCGGUCUCGCAAACGAUAACCUAUCUACGGCAGCUAUGCUAGGAGAUGAAUGAAGAGCUCACCUUGGCUCGCAUGAGGAACCUCUACUCCCCCAAGAUUUUCCGUGGGGGAGUAAUAAAUUUUAUCAAAUGUGACCACCAUGCUUUGCUCAGCAACAUGGAUGACGACAAAGACCAUGGAUUGAUGGAGCGGUUCAUUAUUGUUGCCACCAGGGAUAUCAUCCCAGCCAUAACUCCAUCUUUCCCUGAGUCUUGGACUCAUACACAUAAGUUCAAACUCUAUCUUUUCUUUGAAAAAAGGUUAUUUCGUGUUGUUACUUAUCCUUCUCUUUUUAUUAUUUCAACAACUCGGUGGACAUCACCAAGGGUUGAAGGCUUGGACCAGUGGGUUCAGAAUAUUCUAGAUAUUACCACGCCUGAGACCUACCGGUGGAAAGAACAGGCCCUAAAAUACGGGUGGAAGACCAAAAAUCACAAUAAGUUGACUCGUGAGAUUGAUUUUAUCCUCAUCUCAUUUUUUGUGUAAGAAAAUUGGUUAACUUCUUUUUUUCGUUGAAUUCAGGUCUUCCGCAGGGCUCUUUUACCAUCCCCGAUGAGGAUGUUCUGGCUGAUCCUGCAGAGGCUGCGAGGUUACUGAAGGAGGCCUUCACCCGAAUAGGCUCCAUCAGAUCCUCUUUUGAUGCAAGUGCUUCCUCUCGGAGUCCCUGGCCAGAGAACAAGCAACCAAAAAGGUGGCACUCUUCCUCGGCCGAGAGCAAAAAUAAAAAAGGUGAAGAGCGUUGCACCCGAGCCAGCCGCAGUCACUAAAGUGAUUAAUGAUGAUGGGGAAGCCAGUGAUGAAGGGGCUUCCUUAUAGAGGAGGCAACGACCUUCAUCAGCUCAAUAGAAUGCUCAAUCUUGAGAGCUUAUAACACCAACCGAGGACGACGCCCAAGCGCUCUAGGGAGAGUAUGACCUAGUGGAGAAUGUCAAUUCUCCCUUUCGAGCUCCAAUCGAUGUUCCUGGUACUAUGAGGCUGAGUAUCGGGCCUCUUCCGUCUUGGGUUGAUGAGAAACUGAUCGGAGCCAACCCUAUACUAUUAUAGAAUGGCAAGAACGGUCAAGAGUUGAAUCAACUCAUCAAGGAAACUCUUUCUAUAACAUUGGUCAUUGUGGAACCCAAACUCAUACUCCUAGAUUCUCCAUAUGCAAACCUCACUGUUAGAUUGUAGUACUCAGAACGAGGAUUGUGGAAAACAUACUCAUCUCUCUCAAAGGAAGGUCACAAGUCCGGCUCUAAGUACCAUAAACUUGCCCCUUAUGUGAGUCACCACUAAUGUAAGCUCACUCAACUCUAGAUCAUAUAGGGUUUUUGUGGGAAUGUAAUGAAGGCUUUUGUUUCAGGGUAGGAAAUAUUGGUCUA